CCCCUAGAUGUUCUGGGCCGCACGCGCGCUACACUGAACAGUUCAACAAGUCUUAACCUUGGCCGAUAGGUCUGGGUAAUCUUUGAACGCUGUUCGUGAUUGGGAUAGACCUUUGCAAUUAUGGGUCUUCAACGAGGAAUUCCUAGUAAACGCAAGUCAUCAGCUUGCAUUGAUUACGUCCCUGCCCUUUGUACACACCGCCCGUCGCACCUACCGAUUGGAUGGUCCGGUGAAAUCUCGGGACGGCGGCUUGGUCGCUUGCGUCCGACUGCUGAAACUUGAUUAAACCAUAUCAUUUAGAGGAAGGUGAANUCGUANCA
Molecule: ribosomal RNA, 320 nt
Filed under: uncultured eukaryote
Lineage: Eukaryota
Description: partial 18S ribosomal RNA
Rfam family: Eukaryotic small subunit ribosomal RNA
Source: RNAcentral